AUCGGUCCAAUCCUUAAAGUCAUCCUCAGUUCGGACUGGGGUCUGNAACCCGACCCCACGAAGCUGGAUUCGCUAGUAAUCGCGCAUCAGCCAUGGCGCGGUGAAUACGUUCCCGGGCCUUGUACACACCGCCCGUCAAGCCAUGAAAGCCGGGGGGCGCCUGAAGUCCGUGACCGCGAGGGUCGGCCUAGGGUGAAACCGGUGAUUGGGGCUAAGUCGUAACAAGGUAAC
RNAcentral lists this ribosomal RNA (231 nucleotides) under uncultured bacterium. RNAcentral's name for it is "partial 16S ribosomal RNA". It matches the Rfam family "Bacterial small subunit ribosomal RNA", at positions 1262 to 1500 of the family's 1533-position model. The record is from RNAcentral.